UCAUAUGAUGAUUACCAUAUCACAGACCUGUACCAAAACCUUCGGGUAUUGAGGAUAAAUGUGUUUUGCCUUUUGUCUGAAC
This 82-nucleotide small nucleolar RNA is filed under the name Saitoella complicata NRRL Y-17804. Its description in RNAcentral is "Small nucleolar RNA snR56". It matches the Rfam family "Small nucleolar RNA snR56". Lineage: Eukaryota; Fungi; Ascomycota; Saitoellomycetes; Saitoellales; Saitoellaceae. The record is from Rfam by way of RNAcentral.